CGGCGGGCGGCUCCAUGUUACUGCAUUGAUCUGCCGGCUGGCUUGCUUUGUUGAUUUUGUGUGCUGGUGCUUGCACCUGUGGGCUAAUUAUCGUGGCUCCUGUGUUGACUACCUGAUGUAUGGAAUUUUCUCAAUCGAUUUGUCCCUUCUCCUUAGGACUGCCCCUUGUGGGACGUCGGGGAGCGUGAAGAGGCCCUAGUGUUCCCGGUGUGUUGCCCUCAAAGCAGCGCGACUUUUGGCAUGUUAGGCGUCUCUGUGCCCUCGGAUUCGGUGCUCUCGGAUGGCUCUCGGUGUGUAUUCACUUUGUGCCAUAUUUGACAAAUUUCAUUGAAAUGACGCUCGAUGCCCUCUUCGUCUCGGUGGUACUUCGGUGUCGCCAUGUUGAUUGGGCUCGAUGUCUUUGAGGGUUGUUACCUGGUUGAUAAUGCCAGUAUCAUAUGCUUG
This 444-nucleotide unclassified non-coding RNA is filed under the name Polygala pseudohospita. Its description in RNAcentral is "partial contains external transcribed spacer and small subunit ribosomal RNA". Lineage: Eukaryota; Viridiplantae; Streptophyta; Magnoliopsida; Fabales; Polygalaceae. The record is from RNAcentral.